ACUCUCUGAGCCUCAGUGUGACUUCAUUUCAGAUGGUUCGUCAAGUAUUCUAUCCGAUGCCAGACUCUUGCUCUCUUCAGGGAGAAAACAAGCAACAGGCACAACUUUGGGAGAUUUUUAUUUGCCAGAUGCAUAAACUCCCGCGUUCACAGAGCUGCUGGAGGGACUUUGCCCUGACCAUGUGUGUAGGAAGUCGUGGCCUCCCAGCGUGCACAGAACCCAGCCUCUGGUGCACAGGCUGAGUUGAUUCCCAGGCACUGUCACUUGAUCUCUCCCCUGCUCUUGCCAGCAUUCAGAAACUGAAAAUAUUUACUUUGUGUUGGCUUGACAAAACCCAGUAAAUAGCAACAUUUGCAGGGCCCAGAACACAUGCCAAAGGAGCAGAGGAAAGAGGGUCCGAAUAGGCCGUUAUACUUACAAGAGGGGUUCUCUGAGCUGGGAUGCGAAACCCAGAGACAGUCAAGUCUCAGAUUUCUUUGGCCUCUGAAGUCAGCAUUUAUUGACCAGGCUUUGGAACCGAAUAAAAGUAUGAUCUGCCCCCAUUUUCACUUCUAAAUCUCUUUCUGGGAAAUGUAGCUGAAAAGGGUUUUCAAGUCAUUUUCUUUGUUUCUAUUAGGCGAUUGCUCAUUCACUCAAUGAGUAAUUUAAUACAUUUUUACUGAACUACCACCAUUUUCUAGGAUCUAUUCUGGGUGAUGGAGAUUCAAUAAAGACCAAAAAGAAUCUCUCAACUCAAGAAAAUAAAUCAACAGGUUAAUUUCAGAUUGAGACAAAAGGUAUGAAAGAAUCAAACUAAUGGAUUUGAUAGAGCAUAACUGUGAAGCUGUGUUAGAUAAGGGAUUAGAGCCGGUUUCUCUGAGAUGCUAGUAUUCGACUCAAGACCUAAAGGGAAAGAGGCAGCCAUGAAAAAAACUAGUACACCAGAUUUUAAGGCAGAAGGAACUGUAAAUGUAAAGAUCCUAUUGGGGCAAGGGUGAGCUUCAUAGACUAAAGGAAUGAAAAGAUCCUGGAGGGCAGGGACCAAGUGAAUGAAGGAUAUGGGGUAGAAGAUACCUAUAUCACUAUCUCACUACCGUUAUUUUUUCAAGCUAUUUUUUUUUAUUCUUGUACACGACGCUGCACCUCUUUAAUCACCAGGAACAUAAAAAUGCUUGAUGUAAGCAGAAUUUCUUACAGAAGUUAAGUGGAAGCAAAAUGAAGCACUGUCAACAUCCUCCAAAGACGUGGUGAAAUGGUGAAGCCCAGGAGGCUAGGCGACACUAGGACACAUGGCCACACAACAACCUGAUCUAAAUUCUAGCUGGAAGGAGAACAGAGCAGAGUCCGCUUUUAACCUGGCCCUGAGCUGCUGAGAAUGAGGAAGAGGCUGCAGCAGAAGGCCAUUUGUCUUUGUUAUUAGGAAAUAAAUCAACCUUUGUUUU
Kogia breviceps (pygmy sperm whale) is the source of this 1421-nucleotide non-coding RNA. The record is from RefSeq and is a predicted model, not a curated record. Lineage: Eukaryota; Metazoa; Chordata; Mammalia; Artiodactyla; Physeteridae.